GUGCACCCAUGCAAGCAGGGAGAGCAGCAGAGGGAGAAGGAGAAGCAGAUUCCACUCUGAGCAAGGAGCCUGACAAGGGGAUCAAUCCCAGGACCCUGGGGUCAUUCACCUGAGCUGAAGGCAGACGUUUGACUGACUGAGCCACCAAGGCACUCCCGAAGAAAUCGUCUUUAAAUUCUCUGGAUGUAGCUCACUUAAAGGUGAUAUACCUAUUUUGGAACAAGGCAUUUAUACACAAAGAAACCUGUGGAUGUACAGAGCAGAACACAAAUUAAUAUAAAGUAAGUCACAAGUGAAAUGCCAUUAAAACAAGCACUAUUUGUGAUGGUAAAAGUUAUUUUCAUAGUGAUCGUGUUAUAUCACCUGUUACACUUGUAAGUUUGUCCGUCUCUAGAGACCACUAGUCUCUAGGUAAAACUAGUGGUUCCAUAUUCUGUGUUCUCAAAGGGUGCUUAUUCAUUAGUGUCUAUACUGUAGUAUGACGACAGUAUGUACCUGUCUUGUCUUUUUCUCCACAGGAUGAGCAGGGAUGAUAUUCUCCUAGUUGUUCCCAUGGUGGACGGCAAAUGAUUGUUGAAAGGAUGAAUUAAAUAUUGCUUGGAGACACUACACAUCUCUCAAGGUGAAAGAGAAGAUGAUCAAGAAAAGGAUAACCACAUUCUUUUAGGAUCUGUGACAAGAGAGGCUGGUGUGGAAACUGGACAUGAGGGAAGCUGAGACGAUGAAGCCCUCUGGUAGUGCGCGUCGCUCAAAUGCUUUCAGAGGCCAUGGCGCAGUGGAUAACCUAGAGAUCUGCAAAGGGCCUAGUUGGAGCAGCCAUUUUGCCAUUCAAGAAUGUAGGCCCAGCAAGGCCAGGUCUUCAAAUUUUCAUGAGAA
Mustela lutreola (European mink) is the source of this 876-nucleotide long non-coding RNA. RefSeq lists it as uncharacterized. Lineage: Eukaryota; Metazoa; Chordata; Mammalia; Carnivora; Mustelidae. The record is from RefSeq and is a predicted model, not a curated record. The transcript has 3 exons.